GCCCUAUACCCGUUAAGGCAUGAUGGCCUGUACCCGAAACCGACACAGGUGGGGUGGUAGAGAAUACCGAGGGGCGCGAGGUAACUCUCUCUAAGGAACUCGGCAAAAUGGCCCCGUAACUUCGGGAGAAGGGGUGCCACCGCGAGGUGGUCGCAGUGAAGAGGCCCAGGCGACUGUUUACCAAAAACACAGGUCUCCGCUAAGUCGCAAGACGAUGUAUGGGGGCUGACGCCUGCCCAGUGCCGGAAGGUUAAGGAAGCUGGUCAGCGCAAGCGAAGCUGGCGACUGAAGCCCCGGUGAACGGCGGCCGUAACGAUAACGGUCCUAAGGUAGCGAAAUUCCUUGUCGGGUAAGUUCCGACCCGCACGAAAGGCGUAACGAUCUGGGCGCUGUCUCGGAGAGAGGCUCGGCGAAAUAGAAUUGUCUGUGAAGAUGCGGACUACGUGCACCCGGACAGAAAGACCCUAUGAAGCUUUACUGUAGCUUGGUAUUGUGCUCGGGCUCGGAAUGCGCAGGAUAGGUGGGAGGCUUUGAUCCAUUGCUUGCGGGUGAUGGUGAGCCACUGGUGAGAUACCACUCUUUCCGAGCUAGAGUUCUAACAGCAACCCGUUAUCCGGGUGCUGGACAGUAUCAGGUGGGCAGUUUGACUGGGGCGGUCGCCUCCUAAAAGGUAACGGAGGCGCGCAAAGGUCUGCUCAGGCUGGUUGGAAAUCAGCCGACGAGUGUAAAAGCAGAAGCAGGCUUGACUGUGAGACCUACAAGUCGAACAGGGAGGAAACUCGGCUUUAGUGAUCCGACGGUUCUGCGUGGAAGGGCCGUCGCUCAACGGAUAAAAGUUACUCUGAGGAUAACAGGCUGAUCUCCCCCAAGAGUUCACAUCGACGGGGAGGUUUGGCACCUCGAUGUCGGCUCAUCGCAACCUGGGGCUGAAGUCGGUCCCAAGGGUUGGGCUGUUCGCCCAUUAAAGCGGUACGCGAGCUGGGUUCAGAACGUCGUGAGACAGUUCGGUCCAUAUCCUGCACGCGCAGGAAUAUUGAGAGGAUUUCUCCCUAGUACGAGAGGACCGGGAGGAACGCACCUCUGGUGUGCCAGUUAUCGUGCCAACGGUAAACGCUGGGUAGCCAUGUGCGGAGUGGAUAACCGCUGAAAGCAUCUAAGUGGGAAGCCCACCUCAAGAUGAGUAUUCCCAUGGCAUAAGCCAGUAAGGUCACGGGAAGAACACCCGUUGAUAGGCUCUACGUGGAAGCGCAGUAAUGUGUGAAGCGGAGGAGUACUAAUAGACCGAGGGCUUGAC
Molecule: ribosomal RNA, 1294 nt
Filed under: metagenome
Description: bacterial LSU rRNA
Rfam family: Bacterial large subunit ribosomal RNA
Source: RNAcentral